RNAcentral lists this ribosomal RNA (251 nucleotides) under uncultured bacterium. RNAcentral's name for it is "partial 16S ribosomal RNA". It matches the Rfam family "Bacterial small subunit ribosomal RNA", at positions 525 to 775 of the family's 1533-position model. The record is from RNAcentral.
ACGUAGGGGGCAAGCGUUAUCCGGAUUUACUGGGUGUAAAGGGAGCGUAGACGGUAAAGCAAGUCUGAAGUGAAAGCCCGCGGCUCAACUGCGGGACUGCUUUGGAAACUGUUUAACUGGAGUGUCGGAGAGGUAAGUGGAAUUCCUAGUGUAGCGGUGAAAUGCGUAGAUAUUAGGAGGAACACCAGUGGCGAAGGCGACUUACUGGACGAUAACUGACGUUGAGGCUCGAAAGCGUGGGGAGCAAACAG